CCUACGGGAGGCAGCAGUCGAGAAUCAUUCACAAUGGGGGAAACCCUGAUGGUGCGACGCCGCGUGGGGGAAUGAAGGUCUUCGGAUUGUAAACCCCUGUCAUGUGGGAGCAAAUUAAAAAGAUAGUACCACAAGAGGAAGAGACGGCUAACUCUGUGCCAGCAGCCGCGGUAAUACAGAGGUCUCAAGCGUUGUUCGGAAUCACUGGGCGUAAAGCGUGCGUAGGCUGUUUCGUAAGUCGUGUGUGAAAGGCGCGGGCUCAACCCGCGGACGGCACAUGAUACUGCGAGACUAGAGUAAGGGAGGGGGAAGCGGAAUUCUCGGUGUAGCAGUGAAAUGCGUAGAUAUCGAGAGGAACACUCGUGGCGAAGGCGGGUUCCUGGACAUUAACUGACGCUGAGGCACGAAGGCCAGGGGAGCGAAAGGGAUUAGAUACCCCAGUAGUC
This 446-nucleotide ribosomal RNA is filed under the name uncultured bacterium. RNAcentral's name for it is "partial 16S ribosomal RNA". It matches the Rfam family "Bacterial small subunit ribosomal RNA", at positions 338 to 795 of the family's 1533-position model. The record is from RNAcentral.